Molecule: long non-coding RNA, 2630 nt
Filed under: Olea europaea (common olive)
Lineage: Eukaryota; Viridiplantae; Streptophyta; Magnoliopsida; Lamiales; Oleaceae
Description: long non-coding RNA (OEUR_LNC007512)
Source: RNAcentral
AGAUGCACAAAACAAAGUUGCAGAAGCUAGAAACUUUUUUUGAAACGUCUCCAGGGAACUGGUGAUGCAGUUAUGUUACACUCACAAAAUAAGAGCAGCCUCAGACAGCUGGAGUUAACAUUCACUCUGUGCGACUAAUUGAGGAACAUAGAGGUGGUAUGUUAUGUUAGUUACCUCUACGUCAUUCUAGUUACUGCCAUGUUUUGUAGUUACAACUCUUUUAAGUCGAGCAAAUCUGAUAUUUUGCAAAAGACCAUUUGACAUGUAAAUAUCCAGAGGUACUAUGUUAUGAGAUAGACCUUUUUUUUUUUUUUGCAUGAUAAAAUAAGGGUAGUAAGAGAUUUCUGUUUAACAUUGGUCAGUUCACUCCUUGGAAUCAGCUUCUGCUUUGCAAUUGGUCAGUUCACUCCUUGUUUCCAAAAAAUGGCUCAUUACAAGAUCAGAUGUGGCCUGAAUUGUCACAUUUGGUCAUAUCUGCCUCAACAUAGAUCGGGGGAGAACAUUCUCUCCAUUGCUCUUGGAAAUACCGUGUAUAUGUGGGAUGCAUCUAAUGGUGCUACAUCAGAACUUGUCACAAUUGAUGAAGAAAAUGGCCCUGUUACCGGUGUCAAAUGGGCUCCCGAUGGACGGCACAUUGCUGUUGGCCUGAACAACUCGGAGGUUCAGAUAUGGGAUUCGACAGCAGCUAGACAGGUGUUUAUCCUCUAAUAUUUUCUUAAUAUUUAUGAAGGAUUGGACUCUAACUCAAAUCUAGCUAGGUACCUCUAUCCAAUUGAUUUGACGUGGAUAGAGGUCUAUUUUGUCCAAUCCAGUUGAUCAACUGUAAACCUACAAUUCGUUUAAAAAGUCAUAGUGCUUAUUUUCAUGUACUUCCAAUGCAGCUGAGAACUUUGAGAGGCAUUCAUGGGUCACGAGUUGGUGCUUUGGACUGGAACAAUCACAUUUUGACUACUGGUGGCAUGGAUGGUCAGAUCAUUAACAAUGAUGUUAGAGUGAGGGCACACAUUGUUGAAACUUAUAGAGGACAUACUCAAGAAGUUUGUGGACUUAAAUGGUCAGCCUCGGGUUCACAGCUAGCAAGUGGUGGAAAUGAUGAUCUACUCCACAUAUGGGACAGUUCCAUGGCUUCAUCUAAUUCUCCAACACAGUGGCUGCACAGGCUCGAGGAACAUACUGCUGCUGUCAAAGCUCUUGCCUGGUGUCCUUUCCAGGGUAAUUUACUGGCCUCUGGUGGAGGUGGAAGUGACCAGCGCAUAAAAUUCUGGAACACGCACUCUGGUGUGUGCUUGAACUCGGUUGACACUAGCUCACAAAUUUGUGCUUUAUUGUGGAGUAACAAUGAGCGUGAAAUGCUUAGCUCUCACGGGUUUACAGAAAAUCAGCUCACUCUCUGGAAAUACCCCUCCAUGGUGAAAAUAGCUGAGCUCACUGGGCAUACAUCAAGAGUUCUUUUUAUGGUUCAGGUACCGAGUUGUAUCUUAUUCGAAGAGUAAUGUAAUGCCACCAUCUUUUAACAUCUUAAAUCUGAUCCUUUUCUUGUGGUCUUUGAUUUAGAGCCCGGAUGGAUGCACAGUUGCAUCAGCAGCAGGAGAUGAAACUCUGAGGUUUUGGAAUGUUUUUCGGAUGCCUAAAGUGGCAAAACCUGCAUCCAAGACAAAUUCCGAGCCAUUUGGUCACUGGAACAUUCGAUGAUUGUUGGCAUGAGAAAGCAAAGCAGAUUCUUUACUGCAUGAAAUUCUAAGAUCGAAGAAAACAAAAAUGAUUAACAAGUCCAUAGGUACAAAUUUUUGACAAUGUCCUUUAUUGUAUUCAUUCCACUAUAUUUUUUAAGCUAAUUAUUUUCUAUAAUUUCCAUUUUCUGACAGGGGGUUUCUACUGACAAUUGGGUUUCUGCAAUUCCACCCCGACAGUGCCUUUUUUUCUAAUGCCUUCGUAUUUUCUCAUGCGAAGUUCAGUUACACUGCGUAUUGUCUUUUAAGCUACACAUGUCCAUAGGUACAAAUUAUUGACAAUACGACUGAAAAUCAACUUCUGGAAAGACAGGUCUCCUUUCUCUGUUAAGCAGUCUUUUUUAUCAUGUUUUUCAUUGUUUGUCCUUGCAUGACUCCUUUUGUCAUUUGGCAGUGACUGCUCUUCUGCUGGACUUCUAAUUAAUCCUAUUAAUUAGGAGCUUCCCCAGUGUUGGGGAGGUCAAUAAAAUUUAUUAAUCCUAUUAUUCAAUAGAUAUUCAUGUUUUACACUAAAUACCUCAUUUUUCUCGUCUUAAGGCAACUAUUAUGGCCGGGUUACUUUUUUAGCUCUUUUUCUUCUUUAUUUUUCAUAUUUUCUUUCCUGCAGAAAGCAAGUCCACCAAAGAUGCACAAAACAAAGUUGCAGAAGCUAGAAACUUUUUUUGAAACGUCUCCAGGGAACUGGUGAUGCAGUUAUGUUACACUCACAAAAUAAGAGCAGCCUCAGACAGCUGGAGUUAACAUUCACUCUGUGCGACUAAUUGAGGAACAUAGAGGUGGUAUGUUAUGUUAGUUACCUCUACGUCAUUCUAGUUACUGCCAUGUUUUGUAGUUACAACUCUUUUAAGUCGAGCAAAUCUGAUAUUUUGCAAAAGACCAUUUGACAUGUAAAUAUCCAGA